This is a long non-coding RNA of Notolabrus celidotus (New Zealand spotty), 845 nucleotides long. RefSeq lists it as uncharacterized. Lineage: Eukaryota; Metazoa; Chordata; Actinopteri; Labriformes; Labridae. The record is from RefSeq and is a predicted model, not a curated record. The transcript has 2 exons.
UGAGUGGGAGCAUAACAGCACGUCGCCAACACGGGUACACAGAGUGAGACAGUUCAUGCGAGUCCCUCAGACUAAAGGUGUUGUGUGAGUUGAAUAGUUCCUUGAUUGUGUCACUAGACAGAUGUACAGGUCACGUGAUGAAGUGACGAACGUGCACACUCAGGACAGCGGAUAUUAAAUUAGCUUAAAUAAGAUGAGGUCUUACUUGAUGCCUGAGGAGUUGGACUGCAUCCCUGCAGAGGAAGACCGCCGAGAUGAAGGUCUGGAGUUGGAGUUCGGUGGCUGAGAUGUGCCGCUUGGAGGUUUGGUGACCAGAGGUUCCUCGUCUGAGGAGUUGUCCUCUGAUGCUCCCAGAAUGAACUUGAGGCGGUCCCUCGCCUCGGGCCCUGAGCAGAGCAUCGGCGCGGCAGCUCUGGAAGGUCUCUGGGUGGUCGCCCCUGUUGAUGGCUUUCCUGAAUUUACCUCAGAGGACGCCUGCUCAGCCUCACGCUCUUUUGUUUUGACUUCAGGACUUGCAGAGGCGCUGUCAGCCUGGAGACUGUUCUCCUCAUUGUGUUUCAAAGUAUUAGACACUGCUGACAGGGAAUGUUCGCCUGGUUGAGAGGACUGUGUAGCAGGUGGUCGUUGGCUACGUUUCCCAGCAAGGGUCCAGUGAGCAGCCAGUCUGUGACAGCUGACAUGAAUGCCAAGUGUUGGAAGCUUCAAAUGGAGUAAAGGUCAACACAGAAGGAAUGAAGAGUGAGGAGGAGGAGGAGGAGGAGGUACAACCAUCCUCACAAACAGCACUCAGGGCAUCUGAGGACACCUGAAUGAAAGACACUCAAAUAAAGAAGCAUAAAGUGAAA